RNAcentral lists this ribosomal RNA (247 nucleotides) under uncultured bacterium. Its description in RNAcentral is "partial 16S ribosomal RNA". It matches the Rfam family "Bacterial small subunit ribosomal RNA", at positions 1241 to 1500 of the family's 1533-position model. The record is from RNAcentral.
AAAGGGAAGCGAGACUGUGAAGUUAAGCAAAUCCCAAAAAUAAACGUCUCAGUUCGGAUUGUAGUCUGCAACUCGACUACAUGAAGCUGGAAUCGCUAGUAAUCGCAGAUCAGAAUGCUGCGGUGAAUACGUUCCCGGGCCUUGUACACACCGCCCGUCACACCAUGAGAGUUGAGAAUACCCGAAGUCCAUGUCAAAGUGGCCGAAGGUAGGCUUGAUGAUUGGGGUGAAGUCGUAACAAGGUAGC